Long non-coding RNA from Pipra filicauda (Wire-tailed manakin), 7998 nucleotides. RefSeq lists it as uncharacterized. The record is from RefSeq and is a predicted model, not a curated record. The transcript has 12 exons. NCBI's taxonomy places the organism in Eukaryota, Metazoa, Chordata, Aves, Passeriformes, Pipridae.
UACUUAAAUGUAACAAUAUAACCCUUUUUCAGCUGUAUGUCAGGCAAAGUUUGGAGCUCUGUGCUGCAUAAUGAUUAAAAUUAAUACAGAAGUAUUGCUUAGAGAGGAAAGACAUUUUAAUGCAUAUCUUCUAAUUGAUUAGCAACCAAAUAGGACAUAAAGACAGCACAAGAGAAGGAAAGAGUGUGAGUCAUCUGAUGCCCUAGCACUUACUCUGUUGCCAUGAGGAACAUCAUCUUUAGUUACAGUUUCAUGACUCUGCAUUGCCGUAGUUGAUAAUUCACAGUGCACAAGAGCAAUAGGCUUGUGUGGAACCUAGUGAAAUUUGGAUCCCAAAAAGAAGUGGGGAUGACUGAAUGUGUGCCAUUUUCAGAUUAGCGAUUCAGAUGUAAAAUAGUUAUUCAGAGAGACCAUAAUGUUCUCUGAGAAAAUCUGUUUGACACGUACCAGCAGUACAUUUCAUCAAAACCGUGGUGGUGGAGACUGCUAUAUUCUCUAGCCACAGAGCAGAGAUGUACUGGUGAAGACAAGCCUUGCCUGUACCCACCAAUGUGCUUUAACUCUGGUGCAGAAUGGUCACAGGUGGAUCUGUGAAUAAAUUUCUUCACAGCAGCAGCAUAACUAUGUUUGAGGAAACAUCAGUGUAGGCAGGAUAGUGAUGUGGGUGUUUCAUGAGUUUAGUCUGUAUUGUUGGGGUUAGAAACCACUGCAUGAUUUGGAGUUGAGAAAUCAAAGUAUUAGCCAGCUGAGGGAGAAAUCCCAAUUCUUUCUGGCUCUGUUACUACACCUGGCAGCAUCUAAGUUGCCAAAGGGAUGAUAUUCUGUAUAAUAGGACUACAACAUUCAUGGCAGAGCAGCAGCUCUUUCCAGCCCGGGGCGGCGCCGGCACCGCUGCCUGCUAAAGGGUUCUCUCGGGGUCAGCGGCAUCCCGCCUGCAGAACCAAGCGCUGCGGCAGCUUUCUGCUCCAGGAAAUGACUGCUUUGGCCCAGGCCAGACUGAAAAGGAGCACAUUAAAGGCAUCCCAGGAGAGCAUGGCAGCCUGCACAAGCCUAUGGGAAGGUAGAGGAGGGGAAAUAUAGACAGUAUUUGCUGAAAAAUAUAGACAAUACCCCAAGAGAGUAUACAUGAAGAAACAGUGGAAAAUAAAGGCAAGUCAAAGAAAAACACACAAAGUUUAAGUGUUAGCUUUACUGAAAGCAACUAAUGUUUAGGUUACUUGAUAUGUAAAAAUUUGAAAUUUUCCAUAUUUAUCUGACCAGUUUGUAUCCCAUCAUGUUUUGAUAUGAAUUUUAGAUGCUACUUGCAAACAAAAGAAGAGUAUCAAUAUAAUAAUAUAUGUUUGCUUUACAGAUUCAUCUUCCCAUUAUCAUCUCUGAAAACCAGUUAAAAAAUACAGAAGCACCAUAAAGACAAGUUAUGUAGAAAAAUAUUUUAUUAGAUAAAGAGGAAGCCAUAAAACAAGUCCAUUGCUUUUAUCAGAAUAUUUUUAUUCCUUUGUUGUCUUGUGAAACUAUACAGAGUGUUCUUGGUGAAAAUCAAGGAUGAUUAGGAGAGCAGAUCAAAGCAAGCAUAUUUUCCAGAGUGAAGUUAUCCACAGUCCUUUGAUAGACUUUGUUAAUACAUGUGUAUAUGUAAUUUUGUAUGCCAAGGCAUUCAGAUAUACUUCCCUUCAGGUUUAUGAGUUUUUAGUUUGAGUUUUCUAGUUUAAUUUAUUGUUUUUAUUAGAUGACUCUUAGUAGAUGAUUGUGCUAUCUAGAUGGCUAGAAUAAUGCCUAAAAUUUGUUGGCAGUACCACUUCUUUCCCUAUCUAUCCCAAAUUCAAUUAAAAUUCUAUUUUUUUGAUAUGUGGCAAUCUAGAAUACUUGUGUUACAGUAAUUCAAGCUAUAAUUACUUUAAUCUCACAUAAUCCAGAUACAUCUAAGAAACAUAUUUUGAGUUACAAAUUUUGUUUUCUAAUAUUGGAAGUAACAUAUGUAGAUGGAAACUAAAUUAGAAAAGUUUGUUUCCUAUUACUUUUAUGCUAUGUAAUGCUCUCUGUUAGACUGGUAUUACUUAAACUGUGCUUAGAAUUUAAAAAAUUGUCACUUACUGUAUAAUUAACAGAGUUAUUAGUUGGAGUCCCUUUUAUCAUAGAAACCUGUGUUUAGGUUUUUAUUUUGUCUGACAAUGAAAAAAAUAAGAGAACAAAUAUUAGGGUAAAGACUGCGUUUGUGGUGAGAGCUAGCUAGUAUUUUUAUCAGCUUUACUUUCUGCUCCAAAAUUUUGGGUAAAAGGUGAGUCUAGAGACUCGAGAUAACCUCACAGCUUUGUAGCCUUAGAAAUGGUCAGGAACCAGGAAUGCUUUGAUUUUGGGGACUACAGUUUCCAGACAGCUAUCUCCCUACAAACCAGGGCUAGGAGGAGAAUGUGAAAAACAAGGAAGCAGGUAAAACUGAACAUAUAAUUUUUGUGUUUAAACAAAGAAUAUUAAGAAAUUAUUAAGGGAAUUGCUACAAGAAUGGUGAGUAAUUUGACCUCUUUGCCUUCUGCUAGACUGCAUGUCCUCUGGUAGGAUUUGAUGUAGAACAUGAAAAGAACAUGAGAGGUCUCCACAGACAGUUCAGUCUCCAACAUGUUACUCAGUACAGACACCGGCUGCCUUUUAGUGGAUAUAAGUACUUUUUCAGCCAGGAAAUUCUACAUAACCAUAACGUCAUAGCGGGGCAAAUCUGUUGGAUUUGUGUCUCAAGGAAUGAAUAAAAUAGUUGUUUUCCUCAAUUAUUUUUCCUACCCCAGCAGGGUAGGGAAAGUUGGUUGGUUUGUUUCUCAGUUUUUAACAAAGGUCGUUCUGGUCCCUUUGUGUCUCCUUAUAUUUGAGCAACUGGCACACUGAUGCAGGGAUACAGCAAGCACAUUUUUGCUUCUCUCUGUAGCACCAAACAACGCCUGCAGUAGUUACUGGUCUUCCUUGGGGCAUUUGGAGACUGCAGCAGAGCUGUGAAGAGAGUCAGGGCUCUGGUCAGGAUCCUUCUGCUGUGCUCAGGGAGGAACAAAGAUGUUGCUACCACAUAUUCCAUUGGUGUUAAAAUGAAGCAAGCAGGCAGCUUGGCUUUAAAUACAAGGUAUUCUCUCCUGCCUCCCCUGGCUGCCUCUCUGAAUUCUCCCUGAUGUUUGACCAUCUCAUUUAGUUCCAUUCACCCUCCUACACUGAUUUUUUUUCUCCCAAAGAUUUCUGCUGUGUUGUGGAGCAUGUAACUGUGAAAACUGAAGUUCAGAGCACUAAUACCACGAGCUUCUGAGUGUAAGUCACCAUUUUUUAAUGCCUAAGAGAAAAAUAAUGAACUGAUUUCUGUACAUAAAGGAAACAUUUCUGUCUAAAAGUAUAUCCUACAUGAAGUACAUAGCUAGAUAUAUGGCCAAUGGGCCAUUUAUUUUAGAUAAGUAAUGCAUAUAUUUUAUGCUAAUUAUUUGCACAGAUUUUAAUUCCAUGGGAGACAAAUUAACCAAUACCCUCAAGUAAGUUAUGCUCAGCAUUCUUGGUAUCAUUAGGUUAGAUUUCAUGUCAAAAGAUAGAUUGUUAUGCUUUUUUAUGAAGGAAAAAGUACCAUAAAAAAUUGCACAUAGUGUAAUCACAGGUAUUGAAGGUGUUGAAGUAAAAAUAUCUCCGUGCAGUGACAGACAAAGGAAGACCUUUUCUAAUAGAGAUAACUGUCUUUUUUCCUUUAAAGUUGGUUCAUUUUUUCGUGACAUGAAAUUCAGGGAGUCCAGUAGUGACUUGUUUCUUUUCUUAGUCUAUCAACUACACAUUCAGUUCAUUUAACUAUAUUAUUUUUUAUGCAAAAUGGCAAUAGAUAUUGUAUCAAAUAUUCCAGCAUCACACAGUUCUCUACCAAAGCCCAACCAUUUUGAACUAUUUUUGAGAUUAGUUUGUAGUAUGUUCUUUCUUCCACUGGAGGAGUCAGAGGGUUUAGGGUGACGAAGGGGUCAUCUGGGAGAGCUCAUUGAAAAGCCAGUGAAAAGGAUGAUGUUUUAACUUAAUAUUCUAACAACAUUGUGGGGCACAUUACAGGAAAUCAGAAGUUCCCAUCUUCUGAUUCCCUUGAAUAAAGAACUGUACUUGAGAAGGCUCCUAAUAUAUCACAGCUCCCCUACUGGGGAUGAUGAGUACAACUUAUACAUAGCAUGCAGUUUCAGGAAAGCUGAUUAUAAAACAUCAGACUAACCUUGUAUAGACAGCUGCCACAGUGUGUUUUGCAGGUGUAAAAGGACAAAAGAAUCAAGGUUCCUUCAUUUCCUUGUAAUCUUGGUGUGUAACUAUAGCUUUAGCACAUGUGCAUCUUUUCAUUGUCACCACUCACUUAUACCGCUGGUACCUAUUGUGCUCUGUAUGGUUUUUAUCCUCUAUAAUCCUUUUAUUCUCUCUGUGACUUUGCAAAUGUACUCCACAAUGCUUUGAAGAUUAAUCCCAUAAUUAAAGGACAUAGUUAAAUAAUGUAAUUCUGGCUUGCUUAUACGGAAGAGGCACGUACAGUCUUCAACUAUUAAGUUACAUCUAAAAGUAUAUUUCACUUGAAGAAACAAAGACCAGCAAAUAUUUUCAAAAGAAGGAUUUACAGCUUUCAUGACAUAUCAGGUAAGCAUGAAUAUCAUGUCAUAUAUUAUGCUUUGUCCGGAACAUACUUAAUUUAAGGUGUAAUGUUUAAUUCAUCUCUACUAUUUUCGUAUGACAGUAGAAACACCUGUCCUGAUUAUUAAACAGAAAAGGCUUCAUUUUCCCAGUACAUCAAGGCUUGUAUUUGAGAACCAUUUCUGACUAAUGAUGUAAAGCUGGCUACCCAAGUCUUGGUACUUGCAAACCUACUGCAACACUCAGGUAAGCACUAGAAUUCAGCCUUGUCGUCUUGAUGGUGUUGUAGCUGCUUAGAUGCUAAAGUACAUUUUUUUAGACUAGAGUCUCCUCAGUGUUUCUUUAAUGUCAGAGAAUUCACAAGUGGCAUAACAUAGGUGAUAAAUUCAGAGCCAUUUUUAUUAGAAUGCUAACCUAGGUGUCUUUGAACAUGUUAAAGCAGAAUUAGAAAUUCUCCAGGUUUCAUUGAAAAUACUGUCCCUGUUGAGAAAAUAAUUUAAAAUCUAAAUUAGAUAUGAAAGUAAUAUAAUUAAGAAAUAGAAGGAGUUUAAUAUCUUACACCUAAUUCUAACCAAUAUGUUAAAAAUAAAUUCAGGCUUGUCAUUUCAGCCAUAUUUUAGAAGGUGGAAGCUAUUGUAUUUAGAUUCUUUGUAACCAGACAUAUGAGGGCAACCUGUAAAACGCUAUCUCCUCUGAGGUCAAGGAAUGACUUGGGGUCAAUAUUGUCCUCUGAUAAACAACAUGAGAAGACCUGACUUUUGGGUACUCGAGUAGCAUCAUAUAGUGCCAAGAUUUUUAUUCCUUUUAAACUGGUUUAAGGAAAAUCAGCUUCUUUGUCACUUUUCAAAACCUUUAUCUUAGGCUAUAUAGUUACUGAGUUAGUAACUUGGCACGCCCUGCUUUUGCUAAUCAUGGCUCAAGGAAGAAAUCCUUGCGGUUUAAAUAUAUGUGGAAAUAGCUAGAAGAUGAUAGGGAAGUCCUCUAAUGACUAGCUGUGGUAGACAGCGUUAUAAAGCUCUAAUAAUAUUUUGAUUAUUCAGCUCUGAUAGUUUUUGAGCACUGGGCUGUAAAUUAAUGAAAUCAUAAAAUCUGACAUUUUGAUCACAGGGGAAAAAUCAUGUGAAUGAAACUGAAGAGAAGCAUCAUCAGUUCUUUCACUUCUCUGCUGUAGGUAGGGGCAUCUCUGUUGAAUGUCUUUCACAGCAGCCCAUAAUUACAUGUCUGCUUUAUACAAUAGAUAAGAUGACAGCUGGGAGUGGGGAAAAAUACUGGGAAUUCCAGAUGUAAUCUGAAGACCAUGAACUGAGGAGAACAUAUUGCAGAAGAAAAAUCUGUUUGUAUUUCAGAUUUUGUAUUUACUGCUAAGUUCAGCAUUAUGCAAAUUGACUCUGACAGAGGUAUGAGCCAGAGUUGUUACAUUCCAUAGAAAUAUUUUCCUUGCUUUUAUUAGACUUUUGUGGAUUUUGGGUGGGCUUAAGCAAUAGCUCACAGUAACUUGCACAAGCAUUCUUUCUGAUAUUAUCAAAUUCUCUGGAAGCCUGAUUAUGAUAUAUUUGGCCUCUAUUAUAUCAUGAAAUAGGCAUAUCAGUUAAUUAGUUAUCAGCUGCUAUUCUUUUGUUUGUACAAUGUAGUUAUUUACCAUGAAAAAAAAAUUAGAUUAUUUGUUUAGAUUAGUAAUUUAAAUGUACAUAGAAAAAAGUAGCAUAGGGGAGGAAUUUGAGAUCAUUCUGCUAAUUGCUUAGUGGCUAAUGGAAGGUUGAACUCCAAAGUUACUUCUGCUUAAAAUUUCUGCAAAACAAUGAAAAUCGUGGAGUAAAUAACUGAGUGCACUCUCUACCUCUAGUCUUUUUUUUUUGACCUUCUUUUCAAUAAAUCUGUAUUUAUAUAGAUGAAAUUCUGAGGACAUAUCUAGUGUAACAAUGCUGAAUAUAGCAUAACGUGGCACCCAUUAAGUGUGUCUAAAGUAAUUCAUAUUUUUAGCUUCCUGAUUUACAGAGGAGGAUAUGUUAUCUUAUUAUUGUUAUCAUCUUAUUAUUAAGAGUUUAAAAUUCUGGACUUUACAUACAUUGGUGUCAUUCACACAAAGCAGCUUACCUUUGCAUAUCUACCUCUUUUCACAGUCAGAAAGGUGAAUGUACAUUAGAGAGAUCCAGUCUACGUGGGUUUUGGCUGCUGAUUAAAAACCCAUAAACUUAGAAAUUGGAUUUUAUUCAAGUUCUAUUUGAACAAACUCAGUGAAUCCAGAGAAACUGACAGACUGAGCAGUGCUGCUGCAUCCAGUGCUGAGCACUUCAGUCCCAGUGACAGCCCCACCACUGCAAACCCAUGCCAGGCUGUGGCCCUGCUCAGAAAGGAAAGCCAGGCAAAGACAGAAAGGAAAGGAAAUGGGGGUAAAAAGGGAUCCAGGUGGCAGGCUUUCCAGGCAGCACAGACCUGCAGGAUGGGUGGGCACCAGCAGCUCUGUGGCCAAGGGGCUUCUCAUCCUCCCUGGGAAGAGAAUUGCUGUCCCUGCAGCCCUGUCCCAGCAUGAGAGCCCCGUAGCUGUGACCAAGCAAACAACUUCAGAUGUUUCCAGAAGAUGUUGAAGCAAACUGUGCUUGGGCCUCUCAGAGGAGUCAAACAGAAAGCUGAGUGAAAAGUGGUGCUGGAUAAAAACUUCUGCUGAGUGAUGGAUGGCCCAUACACAAAUACAUUACAAAUGUAUAAGGCAAGAAGCCUUCAGGGAAGUUGAACAGUCAUACAGGAAACCAGACAUUUUUGUGGGUUACAAGGUUACAAGUUGAGCCCUGGAUACCAUUUUUUGACAGUGUAUAGAUCCCACAUUUGCUUCUCGGCCAAAAUAGCAAAGACCCUGAAUUUAUCCUAGCUUUUGAACAAGAAAAAUACAAGGCAGCCUGACAGCCUACAUUUCUCUCUGAUGCCACCACAACAGAGAACAAUAGCCCCAGAAAUGGGAUCUUGACACUGCUGCAUGGAGGGAGAGUUUUAAUUUUUGCAACUGGAGAUGUCUAACAGACCUUCUGGAUGAAACACGUCAGGGGAAGCUGCUUUCUGUGGGAAGUCUUUUCUGAAGCUUAAAACGAAGAGAAAUAAUUGAGAUAAACAUGGAAUACGUGGGGGGUGAUUGUCUCAAGUUAAACCCUCAUAUUGGAAACAAGGACAACUACUGUGACUCAACUUGUCAGAACGUCAUGCAGAGCCUUCCCUUAUGGUUACAGUCUUACUGUUCUGCUCAGAGAGGGCAGCAAAGUAUUGCCGAUCUGGGAUCCAAAAGGAUUUCAACUCUGAGAUCUGUGGACUUAGCAACGAUUCUUUUUCAGCCUUUCAAUGCCUUUGGCUUUUGCUGCUGAUGGUAACAAGUUCAACCUGAAGAGAAAAUGUAUUCCUGGA